CGAGCGGAACGAGUUAUCUGAACCUUCGGGGAACGAUAACGGCGUCGAGCGGCGGACGGGUGAGUAAUGCCUAGGAAAUUGCCUUGAUGUGGGGGAUAACCAUUGGAAACGAUGGCUAAUACCGCAUAAUGCCUACGGGCCAAAGAGGGGGACCUUCGGGCCUCUCGCGUCAAGAUAUGCCUAGGUGGGAUUAGCUAGUUGGUGAGGUAAUGGCUCACCAAGGCGACGAUCCCUAGCUGGUCUGAGAGGAUGAUCAGCCACACUGGAACUGAGACACGGUCCAGACUCCUACGGGAGGCAGCAGUGGGGAAUAUUGCACAAUGGGCGCAAGCCUGAUGCAGCCAUGCCGCGUGUAUGAAGAAGGCCUUCGGGUUGUAAAGUACUUUCAGCAGUGAGGAAGGGGGUGUCGUUAAUAGCGGCAUCUCUUGACGUUAGCUGCAGAAGAAGCACCGGCUAACUCCGUGCCAGCAGCCGCGGUAAUACGGAGGGUGCGAGCGUUAAUCGGAAUUACUGGGCGUAAAGCGCAUGCAGGUGGUUUGUUAAGUCAGAUGUGAAAGCCCGGGGCUCAACCUCGGAACUGCAUUUGAAACUGGCAAACUAGAGUACUGUAGAGGGGGGUAGAAUUUCAGGUGUAGCGGUGAAAUGCGUAGAGAUCUGAAGGAAUACCAGUGGCGAAGGCGGCCCCCUGGACAGAU
Molecule: ribosomal RNA, 695 nt
Filed under: Vibrio sp. J71454
Lineage: Bacteria; Pseudomonadati; Pseudomonadota; Gammaproteobacteria; Vibrionales; Vibrionaceae
Description: bacterial SSU rRNA
Rfam family: Bacterial small subunit ribosomal RNA
Source: RNAcentral